AAUUCGAAGCAACGCGAAGAACCUUACCUAAGCUUGACAUCCCAAUGACAUCUCCUUAAUCGGAGAGUUCCCUUCGGGGACAUUGGUGACAGGUGGUGCAUGGUUGUCGUCAGCUCGUGUCGUGAGAUGUUGGGUUAAGUCCCGCAACGAGCGCAACCCUUGUCUUUAGUUGCCAUCAUUAAGUUGGGCACUCUAGAGAGACUGCCAGGGAUAACCUGGAGGAAGGUGGGGAUGACGUCAAAUCAUCAUGCCCCUUAUGCUUAGGGCUACACACGUGCUACAAUGGGUAGUACAGAGGGUUGCCAAGCCGUAAGGUGGAGCUAAUCCCUUAAAGCUACUCUCAGUUCGGAUUGUAGGCUGAAACUCGCCUACAUGAAGCUGGAGUUACUAGUAAUCGCAGAUCAGAAUGCUGCGGUGAAUGCGUUCCCGGGUCUUGUACACACCGCCCGUCACACCACGGGAGUUGGAGACGCCCGAAGCCGAUUAUCUAACCUUUUGGAAGAAGUCGUCGAAGGUGGAAUCAAUAACUGGGGUGAAGUCGUAACAAGGUAGCCGUAUCGGAAGGUGCGGCUGGAUCACCUCCUUUCUAAGGA
RNAcentral lists this ribosomal RNA (593 nucleotides) under Clostridioides difficile. RNAcentral's name for it is "bacterial SSU rRNA". It matches the Rfam family "Bacterial small subunit ribosomal RNA", at positions 948 to 1533 of the family's 1533-position model. Lineage: Bacteria; Bacillati; Bacillota; Clostridia; Peptostreptococcales; Peptostreptococcaceae. The record is from RNAcentral.